AGAGUUUGAUCAUGGCUCAGAUUGAACGCUGGCGGCGUGCCUAACACAUGCAAGUCGAGCGGCAGCGCGGGAGCAAUCCUGGCGGCGAGCGGCGGACGGGUGAGCAAUAUUUGGGAAUCUGCCUAUUAGUGGGGGACAACCCGGGGAAACUCGGGCUAAUACCGCAUACGCACUACGGUGGAAAGCCGGGGACCGCAAGGCCUGGCGCUAAUAGAUGAGCCCAAAUCGGAUUAGCUAGUUGGUGAGGUAAUGGCUCACCAAGGCUACGAUCCGUAGCUGGUCUGAGAGGACGACCAGCCACACCGGAACUGAGACACGGUCCGGACUCCUACGGGAGGCAGCAGUGGGGAAUAUUGGACAAUGGGCGAAAGCCUGAUCCAGCGACGCCGCGUGGGUGAAGAAGGCCUGCGGGUUGUAAAGCCCUUUCGGUGGGGAAGAAAAGCCUCGACUUAAUACGUUGGGGUCUUGACGUAACCCAAGAAAGAAGCACCGGCUAACUCUGUGCCAGCAGCCGCGGUAAUACAGAGGGUGCGAGCGUUAAUCGGAAUUACUGGGCGUAAAGCGCGCGUAGGCGGCUUUGCAAGUCGAGUGUGAAAUCCCCAGGCUUAACCUGGGAACUGCUCUCGAGACUGCAUAGCUAGAGUAUGGGAGAGGGAAGUGGAAUUUCAGGUAGCGGUGAAAUGCGUAGAUAUCUGAAGGAACAUCAGUGGCGAAAGCGACUUCCUGGACCAAUACUGACGCUCAUGUGCGAAAGCGUGGGGAGCAAACAGGAUUAGAUACCCUAGUAGUCC
Molecule: ribosomal RNA, 791 nt
Filed under: uncultured bacterium
Lineage: Bacteria
Description: bacterial SSU rRNA
Rfam family: Bacterial small subunit ribosomal RNA
Source: RNAcentral